This 495-nucleotide ribosomal RNA is filed under the name uncultured bacterium. RNAcentral describes it as "bacterial SSU rRNA". It matches the Rfam family "Bacterial small subunit ribosomal RNA", at positions 985 to 1478 of the family's 1533-position model. The record is from RNAcentral.
CAUGCCACUAACGAAGCAGAGAUGCAUUAGGUGCUCGAAAGAGAAAGUGGACACAGGUGCUGCAUGGCUGUCGUCAGCUCGUGUCGUGAGAUGUUGGGUUAAGUCCCGCAACGAGCGCAACCCUUGCCAAUAAUUGCCAUCAUUUAGUUGGGCACUUUAUUGGGACUGCCGAUGACAAAUCGGAGGAAGGUGGGGAUGACGUCAAGUCCUCAUGGCCCUUAUGGCCAGGGCUUCACACGUAAUACAAUGGUCGGUACAGAGGGCUGCCAACCCGCGAGGGGGAGCCAAUCCCAGAAAGCCGAUCGUAGUCCGGAUUGUUCUCUGCAACUCGAGAGCAUGAAGUCGGAAUCGCUAGUAAUCGCGGAUCAGCAUGUCGCGGUGAAUACGUUCCCGGGCCUUGUACACACCGCCCGUCACACCAUGGGAGUGGGUUUUACCAGAAGUAGUUAGCUUAACCGUAAGGGGGGCGAUUACCACGGUAGUAUUCAUGACUGG